RNAcentral lists this ribosomal RNA (880 nucleotides) under uncultured bacterium. RNAcentral's name for it is "bacterial SSU rRNA". It matches the Rfam family "Bacterial small subunit ribosomal RNA", at positions 40 to 916 of the family's 1533-position model. The record is from RNAcentral.
CGGCGUGCCUAACACAUGCAAGUCGAACGAAGCUUGACGGAUGAUUUCUUCGGAAUGAAACCUGAUAUGACUUAGUGGCGGACGGGUGAGUAACACGUGAGCAACCUGCCUUUCAGAGGGGGAUAACGGCUGGAAACGGUCGCUAAUACCGCAUGAUGUGUUCGGAUGGCAUCAUCUGAACAUCAAAGAUUUAUCGCUGAAAGAUGGGCUCGCGUCUGAUUAGAUAGUUGGUGGGGUAACGGCCUACCAAGUCUACGAUCAGUAGCCGGACUGAGAGGUUGAACGGCCACAUUGGGACUGAGAUACGGCCCAGACUCCUACGGGAGGCAGCAGUGGGGAAUAUUGCACAAUGGGGGAAACCCUGAUGCAGCAACGCCGCGUGAAGGAUGACGGUUUUCGGAUUGUAAACUUCUUUUCUUAGUGACGAAGACAGUGACGGUAGCUAAGGAAUAAGCAUCGGCUAACUACGUGCCAGCAGCCGCGGUAAUACGUAGGAUGCAAGCGUUAUCCGGAUUUACUGGGUGUAAAGGGAGCGCAGGCGGGACUGCAAGUUGGAUGUGAAAUACCGUGGCUUAACCACGGAACUGCAUCCAAAACUGUAGUUCUUGAGUGAAGUAGAGGCAAGCGGAAUUCCGAGUGUAGCGGUGAAAUGCGUAGAUAUUCGGAGGAACACCAGUGGCGAAGGCGGCUUGCUGGGCUUUAACUGACGCUGAGGCUCGAAAGUGUGGGGAGCAAACAGGAUUAGAUACCCUGGUAGUCCACACUGUAAACGAUGAUAGCUAGGUGUGGGGGGUCUGACCCCUUCCGUGCCGGAGUUAACGCAAUAAGCUAUCCACCUGGGGAGUACGACCGCAAGGUUGAAACUCAAAUGAAUUGACGG